Long non-coding RNA from Pipistrellus kuhlii (Kuhl's pipistrelle), 868 nucleotides. RefSeq lists it as uncharacterized. NCBI's taxonomy places the organism in Eukaryota, Metazoa, Chordata, Mammalia, Chiroptera, Vespertilionidae. The record is from RefSeq and is a predicted model, not a curated record. The transcript has 2 exons.
ACGCCUGCUCUAAUUAAUGUAAAUGAGGUAUUGCCCUGGACUUUUUAGUUCCAUCUAUGCUAUCUGUCUCUGAAUUAGUGUAAGGUUGAAUUAUUUGCUGGUCAGCAGUGAGGUAUCUUUUCUGCAUCUAGGUAGAUAAUCUGUAUUUUAUUAUUGAUUCUGAGAGAGUUUUAGCUUUUUUAACUGUUAACAAUCCUUUGGUAUAUAGAUAAAUUUCCUGUCUUUUUGACUGGCAAUUUAUACCCCUGGAACCUUGUUAUAAGUAAUCCAGACUUGGGCUUUUAUUAUUCCAGAAAAAUAACUCGCAAUAUUUGUUAUAUAAAUGUAAAGGAAGAACCUCUCAAAGUAAUCUGGAGGCUGGAUUUUUCACAUCUUGAUAUUUCUAUAUGAAUUAUUUCAUAUGAGACACUUCCUAGUGCUUUCAAAUCACUGCUCUUCAGUCUAUUUUAGUUCCUUCUGUAGCUGAUACCUCAUGGCUUCUUUUUUAUAUUCUCUACUUGUAAUACGGUAAUUGCCAUACCUUUAAAUGUGUCCCUUUGAGGCAGAGGUGACAACUAAUGUGGUUUUUGGGAUUUUUAUUUUUAGCUUUCUGUGUAAUAUCACUCAAGGUAUCUUAGAGACCAUGUGGAUAGCUAUUUGCUUUUGAGAUUCUGAUACAGUUUUUCAGUUAAGAUUUUUAGAGAAAGAAAAUAGGGUGGGUAAUCAUUAAAAGUGGAAAUCUGAAGAUGAGGGCUUGUCAUUUGUCUAUUUACAUAUGGGUAAGCAGAGUAAUGGAUAAAUAUCUUAGGCCCUCUAAUAUUUCCUUUUUGAGGCAAUCAGUUAAGCAUUCCAUUUCUCAUUUAUUCGUUAUAAGAAAGCAUUAGGAAAU